CUUCUGCCUGAACACGCUUUUAAAUCUCACUGCUGUAGUCUGGCAACUUUUGCCUGUUGGUUUCUGUGCUGAAGUUGUGAGACUUUUGUGUUAGAGAAGUGAGAAAUGGGACCAUCCCUCUUGUUUUCCAUCUUAAAAGCUUUGAACUUUGGAUGUUUAUGAGUAAUUUCUCUACAUAUUUAAUCUGUCAUAAGACUCUGUUUUUCCCUUUUGCUUGUUGUGAAGUUUAAAUGCCUCACCUUGUGUUGCCCUCAGGAACGUCACUGCUGUUUCAGCUCUCGCUGUUGAGGAUGUAUAUGAGUGGAUAAAUUUGUGUGAGUGUUAAUUAUUUGGAUGGUUUGUCUGUGUGUGUGUGUGUGUGUGCUCAGGAGCUGAGAGGGAAAUGUGAUUAGACUCUGACAGGGAACUGUAGGUUUCACGUGUGAGAUCACAGAUGAGGUAAAUGAGGAACAACUGUGUGAGAUCACUUAGAUACAGACAACAGUGUUCACACACAUGCACAUGGCUAUACUGACAAUACCCCACUCAGUAUUGGCACCUUUAACAGGAACAGCAACACUUUUUUCAUGUGUCCUCCUGUGUGUGUGUGUGUGUGUGUGUGUGUGUGUGUGUGUGUGUGUGUGUGUUUCCAUAGAUGGUCAGUGUUUUUUUUUUCUAGCAAGCUGCUGGUAGAGAACAGGCUCUGCUGGCAGGAGUUUGACUCCACUGUAAUUAACCACAGGGUGCAUAAUACAGUAAAACCAACAGGGGCAGCGAGUCAUUCACACAAUGCAAAUACUGGUGCUGACUCAGAGCAGGCAGCAGGGUUUAGCUCACUGAAAAGAUGACACUUAACUCCGAAACCCCAUGACACCCUCUUCUUUGAAAGUAAAAUCAUUUUUAGCACUGUGACUAACUACUAUUUUAAUUAUCAAUUAACUAAUCAUUUGGUUUAUGAAAUGUUAAAAAAUUAUGAAAAAUUGUGAAUUGCAGUCUCAGAGCAGUCUUCAAAUGUCUUCUUUUGUCCGACCAGAACUCCAAAGCCCAAAUAUAUAUUGAGUUAACAAUGAAAUAAAACAGAGAAAAGCAGGACAUCUUAACAGUUGAGAAUCUGAAACUAGCAAAUGUUUUGCUUUUUGCUUGAAAAACGACAGAAAUGAUUAAUCGAUUAUCAAAAUCUUUUUUGCUGUAUUUCUGGUCUUAUUGGUCUGAGAAUAUUUGAUAGGACUGGGUGAUAUGAUGAAAUCUAUAUCACAAUAAUUUGUCACAUGUAUCUCUAACAAUAAGAAUUUUUAAUACAUCUGUGCCUAUGACAUUUCCUUUCUUGCGCUGGCUUACUUUUUAUGUUUAUUGAUUACUGUAUGGCCAGUUAAAUAUUCUGGACUUCUGGACUAGACAUUAGGCUGAUUUCUUGGUUGAACAUCUGGUAAGAUGUCAGUGCUUGCUGUAGCUAUUCUCAGUUUUGUUAUGUGGGAUUCAAACAGUUUACUGUAUUUACUGUAAAAUUGAAAAUUUAUGAGAAAAUGUGGGUCAUAAAAGAUUCACAAGAGUUUCGGUAAUUCAUUAAAUUUGGUUUAUCGUCAUGUAAGAAUCUGUAAACUGAGCUGAACAAGGCUAAUCGACCUCAUCAUCUCAGUGUAAUUUUCAUCUGAUGCUGAACUCAAAACAUGUUUAGUGUUUAAUCCACAUGCCCAAUUGCAGCAACGUCUCCUGCAGUUCAACAUGUGUUUUUCCACAGAAGUCUGCCUCGAGCUCAACACAACUACAGGCGUAACUCCCAGUGGUGCAUGCACAGCACCUGAACACACGUCACCCCUUGUAAAUAGGGCAGAGAAACCCAGUGCGCAGCUUACACCAGACAAUGGCACAGUCAGUUCCUGGGCUCCAAAAUGACAAAAUUGCUUAGAUGGCUUCCAAAUGGUGUGUGUGUUUUCCUGUCUGUUGUGAACGAGUGUAUACAGUAGGCCUGUGCUCCUGCCUUUGCGAGACUGUAAGUGUGUGAGUCUGUUAGUGUUAGUGCAUGCAUCCACACCUACCUCUCCCUGUCAGCCGGGUCUCCCUCUAAUUGACGCAUUGCCGUUCCCCUGUAGCGCCGGUUUGCAGUGUCGGCCCGGUCCCUCCCAAACCACAAGGGACUCUUUGUUUGUAAUUUAUGAAUUAGUGUGUGGUUUGGGUUACGAGAAGAGAGGGCAGGCCAGAGGCUGAUGGCACAGGAACAGGAAUAAGCCCAGCCCGCUCCAGCGCUCAUUCUGAUUAGCUGUAUGUUAACUCGCUUAUGUUUAUCAUUCCAGAUUAGCAGUCUGGAUAUCCUCUGGAGAUAGAGAGAGAGAUUGAGAUGACAGUAGAAAAUGAUUAAUGGGGAAGAUGAAUGGGCGUUUUCAUUCUCUUUCCCUCUGUUUUUGUCUCUCUUUUGCACCUUUUUCCCCACACACAGAGAUGUGACUUUAUGUUUGACAAUCCUGUGAUAAUCUUUGUAACUCUGUGUCCGGCCAUCAGAUAAGGCUGACUGCUCAGUUGUUAUAACAGAAAACAGAAAGUGCAGAAAGCCAGACCAUGUCUCUCUCUCUCCCUGCUUCUUUCUAACUUCGUAUAGCUUCAUACCCCCUGCUUGGAACGCUCUUUCCGCCAUCCAUUGGCUUCAUUUUGCUCUUUUUCAUCAAGUGGUUUUAUUUACUUUGUCUAGUCUGAAUGGAACCUGGCACUGUACUAAGCUUUGGCCUAGUUCUCUCACAGAAAAGCAAAGCCCUCUUUCCUUUCCAACCCCCAUCUUUUUUCUCUACCCGUGAUUUGAUUUUUAUCCUUUUCUUCUGUGUUCUCUGUUUUUGAAACUCAGCAUGCAUUCCUAAUGGCUUCAGCUCUCCUAAAGGGGUGUUUUCUUUUUUCUUUCCUUGCUACUGCCCUUCCUUCCCUCCUUCCUUCCAGAAAGUCUUUCUCCAAAAAAAUACUCUAAAAUAAAAGUCAUUUUGAAGUGUAUGGGGAGGGCAAGCGGUCUCCUGAUAGCCAAAGCAGAUCCCCCCCCCCAAAAAAAAACAACUUCCUGGCAUUCUUCUGCACCAACAUGCAGCUGUUUGUAGGGGGUGCUGAAGUUCUCCUGUCCCCCAUAACCCCCCCUAUACCUCACCCCACCACCAUCUCAGUAAUACCUGUACAUCCUCAUACCAUUAUCUAUAUGGCUUUGGCCUCAGACCCCCCCUCUACUGCAUGUCUCCAGUGUCCCAGGCAUCAGCCAUGACUCGUCUCCUACAGCAACUCUACUCCCCCAUCAUAGCUGCUAGGGACCCCCACUCUCAAUUAUUAUACACCACAAUUCUCUGUUAAUAAGCCAACUUUGCAGACAAUAGUUCUGCUUCCAAAAGGUAGAGCCCUUUACUUUAUAGUUCAUCUACAAGAACUUAGCUUUUCCUUUCCUCUUGGGCCAAUUCUUUGUGCUUUCAAAGGACCAAGUUUUUGCAGACAGUCUUUUCCUGGAGGAGCAGUGUUUUAUCACUGCUCUGAUGUCUGUGUUAUUGCCCGGAUUGGUCCUGGAUGGAGGGAUUUGAGGAGCCUCAUAGCUGUGGGGAGUCAUUUAUCUCCCAGUGAGAUUGUGGGGAGCAGGAUUUUGUGACAUCACAACUAGUUUGGAAGACAGUCCUGGUUUAACAUGUCUUAAAACAUCUGAAGGGCAGACAAACAGUGACCGG
Molecule: long non-coding RNA, 3659 nt
Organism: Siniperca chuatsi (mandarin fish)
Lineage: Eukaryota; Metazoa; Chordata; Actinopteri; Centrarchiformes; Sinipercidae
Exons: 3
Source: RefSeq, a predicted model, not a curated record